This 880-nucleotide long non-coding RNA is filed under the name Hordeum vulgare. RNAcentral's name for it is "long non-coding RNA (HVUL_LNC003605)". The record is from RNAcentral. Lineage: Eukaryota; Viridiplantae; Streptophyta; Magnoliopsida; Poales; Poaceae.
GAGCUGUCAUCUUCUUCAUCUACUAUCUCUACUAAAAAUGAAGCUUUGGGUGUCAGCAGUUGUCACUGAAUUUUUAGAUGACCAGCAAUAAAUUUUGCUGCUUAAUUUUGGACUGCCAAGUGUAAGUUUUCCAAGUGUGUGGGUGUAGCAAGUAACAUCUCUGAACCCUGAAAAAAAGAAUCAAAAUCGAAUCCAUUCUCUAUGUCCUCACAAUGCCUAUGAAUUUCACAUAGUGGUAGUUUAAGCACCACACACAUUGUCCAUGCAAAAAGAGGUGGAAUAAAACUAAAUCUAAACUGAACUUUACAAAAUUUUAAAAUCAGAACCUUUGUAUAGCUGACAAUGGAUCAUCGUACACAACAAGAUCUAGUAAGUAAUGCAACAACACACACAUACAUAAGAGUCGAAAAAUUGAUUAGAAGGCAUUACCUACAUGGAUAGACUAAGGUCUCUGCAGUGCAAGGAUUAGAAAAUACGAGCAAGACGCCAAGGACAACGAUAGUCAAGGAUGGCAUCUCCUUCGUCCAUACGGUGGUCCAUGCUCUCUGCAAUCCCAGAAGAACAACAGACCUUUAAGGGUUGAAAUCAGGAGUAAAGAACAUAUCAAAAGGGUUUAGAAAUAGAAAGGAGAAAAUUCAAGAGUCGGUACAAAAACAAAUAGAUCUUUCUAUCAUAAACUUUGUACAUCCAAAUAGCUAAGAAGACCCUCUGCUCUACUACUCCUUCGAGAACGCCCGACAAUGAUGGAUUUAUAUAGAAUAAUGUACUUACCAAUGCAAUAUUUUUUAUGUCUGAAACCUAGCUGCCCAAAUAUAAAUAUUUAUAUUUCAGACCAAAUCAAGGAGAAGUGUAGUUACCAAUAUUGUUUUUUUCAUGUCAU